This 30-nucleotide non-coding RNA is filed under the name Prorocentrum micans. Lineage: Eukaryota; Dinophyceae; Prorocentrales; Prorocentraceae. The record is from RNAcentral.
UCGGCUAGGAGCAGCAAGCAUCGAUGGCGG